This 1079-nucleotide long non-coding RNA is filed under the name Androctonus crassicauda. The record is from RNAcentral. Lineage: Eukaryota; Metazoa; Arthropoda; Arachnida; Scorpiones; Buthidae.
AUCAUCUUGUUGCAAUAAAAGCCCUUGGAUGAUGUAAUGCACUAUUUAUAGUCAUCUACUGGUGAUAUCAUCCCAUAAAUGACUAUAAAAUAUUGUAGAAAUGCGCUUCGCAUGUAACAGUGGCAUGUUCCAAGAUUGCUAUACUUAUGUACACCAUCUUGGAAUAUGGCACUGUUACAAUGGCUAAAUUUUCGAAACUAACGCCUAAGAAAGGGGUAUUAGAUGUUUCAAAUGCUCGAAGUUCAACAGAGAUUAUUGAAGAUUUGUAAAGGUUCGAAGUUUUACCUAUCUAUGUGGCAGAGGGUGUUAGAGCCUGCGGUGUGGGAGUGCGUCAAGGUUGUAGUGACGUCAUGUUGAACUAUUGUUUCCGGUGGAACUGUCUCUUUCGUAAAGUUGGAACUGAAUUAAUAUUAAUUAGUUUAUUUCACUACUAUGUUUAAAAUAAUCAUUAAAUUACUUCAAAAAGUUUUAAGAAAAGUUGGCUGUAUUUUUGGUGUUUUCUUUGUUAGCGGUGGAAUUAUGCAAAUGAGACUGUGGUUAAAGGAUGGGUGGAGAGGCGGUGGUGAUGUCUCGCCUGUUGUGUCAUCGUCUUGUGUUUUUUAUGCUUAUCAACUGUUAUCUGUUACUGGGGGUUUGUGAAUUACAGUCGACCGUUGCUGUUUCAGUGGACAGUAUGUCGCAGUGAAGAUAUGGAUUGGUGUUAUAUAAAAGGAAAAUUUUUUAUUGGAAAAGUUUUGUUUUGUAUAGGCGAGAUUCAGCCAUUGUCGUAAGUUUAAUUUUUUCCGUUUUGCUAAUAAAGUUGUUUAUUUACUUAUGAAGCAGUUAAUUGAGUUAACAAAAUACUGGUUGGGCACUCAUGAACUAAAUAUUCAAAUUAAGAUUAGCUUUGAUAGAAAGUCCAAUAGGACUGAACAACGGGGUUGGACUGGAGGUGAAAACGGGGGAAAUGUCCCAGUUUUUACAGAGUGAAAUUAGAUAUUAUGAAAUAAUGAAGGUUAACUUUCUGAGGAAAAAAUUUAAUUUUUUAAAAUAUUAAAAGAUCCUGCUUUUCUCAAGCCAAAGUCUUUUUAGAGAUUUGU